UGCGUAGGCGGCUUUGCAAGUCAGAUGUGAAAUCUAUGGGCUCAACCCAUAGCCUGCAUUUGAAACUGCAGAGCUUGAGUGAAGUAGAGGCAGGCGGAAUUCCCCGUGUAGCGGUGAAAUGCGUAGAGAUGGGGAGGAACACCAGUGGCGAAGGCGGCCUGCUGGGCUUUAACUGACGCUGAGGCAAGACUGGGGAGCAACA
This 202-nucleotide ribosomal RNA is filed under the name uncultured bacterium. RNAcentral's name for it is "partial 16S ribosomal RNA". It matches the Rfam family "Bacterial small subunit ribosomal RNA", at positions 568 to 773 of the family's 1533-position model. The record is from RNAcentral.